Molecule: ribosomal RNA, 253 nt
Filed under: uncultured bacterium
Lineage: Bacteria
Description: partial 16S ribosomal RNA
Rfam family: Bacterial small subunit ribosomal RNA
Source: RNAcentral
UACGUAGGGUGCGAGCGUUGUCCGGAUUUAUUGGGCGUAAAGAGCUUGUAGGCGGCUCGUCGCGUCGGGUGUGAAAACUUGCGGCUUAACCGCAAGCCUGCACCCGAUACGGGCGGGCUAGAGUUCGGCAGGGGAGACUGGAAUUCCUGGUGUAGCGGUGGAAUGCGCAGAUAUCAGGAGGAACACCGGUGGCGAAGGCGGGUCUCUGGACAGUUCCUGACGCUGAGGCACGAAGGUCAGGGGAGCAAACGGG